Molecule: long non-coding RNA, 921 nt
Organism: Homo sapiens (human)
Lineage: Eukaryota; Metazoa; Chordata; Mammalia; Primates; Hominidae
Product: long independently transcribed non-coding RNA 1908
Exons: 7
Source: RefSeq, a predicted model, not a curated record
AUUCCCACUGUGCCCCCACAACAGCACCGAAGCACCGAGUUUAUUUCCAGGCAGGCAGUGAGCAGGGCUGAGAAAUUGCCCCAGGCUACAAGCCUCCCAGCUGAGAAAGCAAGCAGACUCACAGUUCCUUGGCUGUCCCAUGCAGCCUGCAGCAGCAAUCCACCCCCUUUAAAGUGUCUGUGGAUUCUUUCAGCUUUUUUGGUUCAAGCAAUUCUCCUGUCUCAGCCUCCCGAGUAGCUGGGAUUACAGUCAUGUGCCCCUGUGUCCAGAAUUGGUUCCUUCUGGUGGGUUCUUGGUCUUGCUGUCUUCAAGAAUGAAGCCGUGGACCCUCGUCAUGAAUGUUACAGUUCUUAAAGAUGAAGAGAACAGCAUCAGGGCACAUUGAGGCUCAGAAAUUUAUAUUCCAAGAAGAGGUGCACAGGAACAGAGCAGAUCCAAAGCAGACAACCACCUGGAAGCAGUCAUAACAACAGCAAUAGCAAAUCAAUGCUGAUAAAAGAAAUCAAGUACAGAGAGUUUUAAGGACAUUGUCCAAAGUUGUACAAGGGCACCAUUUUUAAAAGUUGACAACCUCCUGCAGGGAUGUUCUGAAAGACAGAGACAUCUUGUCGGAAUUAUGAAUGUCCUUGGUGGAUGAGGCAGAAAGAGUUGACUGUGUAGGACAUUCCUGACAAGUCCUCAGGAUUUGAAAUGACUCCAACACUAAGCAUUCACCUGGAGAUAACCUACAGAGAUACUCUGUGUUACCCACAACUAGUCUGUUGACUAAGUUGGUGAAUAUAUUUGGGAAAAGCCCAUGUGGAAGAAUGGAAGCCUGCAUUAUCUUUCUCAGAGACAGACAGGAAGGUGACUCUAUGGAAGACAUCAGCGAUAAACUAGGAAGGAGUGACACGGUAAGUGAAAAUAGAGAUAUGCAGUGUG